This 1440-nucleotide ribosomal RNA is filed under the name uncultured organism. Its description in RNAcentral is "SSU rRNA". It matches the Rfam family "Bacterial small subunit ribosomal RNA". The record is from RNAcentral.
CUAUCUACAGGCUUAACACAUGCAAGUCGAGGGGCAGCAUGGUCUUAGCUUGCUAAGGCCGAUGGCGACCGGCGCACGGGUGAGUAACACGUAUCCAACCUGCCGUCUACUCUUGGACAGCCUUCUGAAAGGAAGAUUAAUACAAGAUGGCAUCAUGAGUCCGCAUGUUCACAUGAUUAAAGGUAUUCCGGUAGACGAUGGGGAUGCGUUCCAUUAGAUAGUAGGCGGGGUAACGGCCCACCUAGUCUUCGAUGGAUAGGGGUUCUGAGAGGAAGGUCCCCCACAUUGGAACUGAGACACGGUCCAAACUCCUACGGGAGGCAGCAGUGAGGAAUAUUGGUCAAUGGGCGAGAGCCUGAACCAGCCAAGUAGCGUGAAGGAUGACUGCCCUAUGGGUUGUAAACUUCUUUUAUAAAGGAAUAAAGUCGGGUAUGCAUACCCGUUUGCAUGUACUUUAUGAAUAAGGAUCGGCUAACUCCGUGCCAGCAGCCGCGGUAAUACGGAGGAUCCGAGCGUUAUCCGGAUUUAUUGGGUUUAAAGGGAGCGUAGAUGGAUGUUUAAGUCAGUUGUGAAAGUUUGCGGCUCAACCGUAAAAUUGCAGUUGAUACUGGAUAUCUUGAGUGCAGUUGAGGCAGGCGGAAUUCGUGGUGUAGCGGUGAAAUGCUUAGAUAUCACGAAGAACUCCGAUUGCGAAGGCAGCCUGCUAAGCUGCAACUGACAUUGAGGCACGAAAGUGUGGGUAUCAAACAGGAUUAGAUACCCUGGUAGUCCACACGGUAAACGAUGAAUACUCGCUGUUUGCGAUAUACGGCAAGCGGCCAAGCGAAAGCGUUAAGUAUUCCACCUGGGGAGUACGCCGGCAACGGUGAAACUCAAAGGAAUUGACGGGGGCCCGCACAAGCGGAGGAACAUGUGGUUUAAUUCGAUGAUACGCGAGGAACCUUACCCGGGCUUAAAUUGCAGAUGAAUUACGGUGAAAGCCGUAAGCCGCAAGGCAUCUGUGAAGGUGCUGCAUGGUUGUCGUCAGCUCGUGCCGUGAGGUGUCGGCUUAAGUGCCAUAACGAGCGCAACCCUUGUUGUCAGUUACUAACAGGUUCCGCUGAGGACUCUGACAAGACUGCCAUCGUAAGAUGUGAGGAAGGUGGGGAUGACGUCAAAUCAGCACGGCCCUUACGUCCGGGGCUACACACGUGUUACAAUGGGGGGUACAGAGGGCCGCUACCACGCGAGUGGAUGCCAAUCCCCAAAACCUCUCUCAGUUCGGACUGGAGUCUGCAACCCGACUCCACGAAGCUGGAUUCGCUAGUAAUCGCGCAUCAGCCACGGCGCGGUGAAUACGUUCCCGGGCCUUGUACACACCGCCCGUCAAGCCAUGGGAGCCGGGGGUACCUGAAGUGCGUAACCGCGAGGAGCGCCCUAGGGUAAAACUGGUGACUGGGG